This 52-nucleotide ribosomal RNA is filed under the name Spiralothelphusa parvula. RNAcentral's name for it is "partial 12S ribosomal RNA". Lineage: Eukaryota; Metazoa; Arthropoda; Malacostraca; Decapoda; Parathelphusidae. The record is from RNAcentral.
GAGAUANGUCGUAACAUAGUAGAUAUACUGGAAAGUGUAUCUAGAAUUAUAU